Molecule: ribosomal RNA, 259 nt
Filed under: uncultured prokaryote
Description: partial 16S ribosomal RNA
Rfam family: Bacterial small subunit ribosomal RNA
Source: RNAcentral
UACGGAGGAUCCGAGCGUUAUCCGGAUUUAUUGGGUUUAAAGGGUGCGCAGGCGGGGGAUUAAGUCAGCGGUGAAAUUUUGCAGCUUAACUGUAACAGUGCCGUUGAUACUGGGGAGCUAGGAUUUGGUUGCUGUGGGUGGAAUGUGUGGUGUAGCGGUGAAAUGCUUAGAGAUCACACAGAAUAUCGAUUGCGAAGGCAGCUCACAAAGCCAAGAUUGACGCUGAGGCACGAAAGUGUGGGGAUCAAACAGGAUUAGA